This is an RNA transcript of Equus caballus (horse), 8099 nucleotides long. It is a transcript of the gene named actin binding LIM protein 1, with no coding region annotated. Lineage: Eukaryota; Metazoa; Chordata; Mammalia; Perissodactyla; Equidae. The record is from RefSeq and is a predicted model, not a curated record.
GGUGGUGGGUAAUUCAACCCAGCAUCAGGGCAUUAGUGACUAAGGGAAAAAUAGGCCUCUUUCCUGAGCCUUUCCGGAUGAGGUCAUUGUUUUCAGACAGUGUGUACCUAAUAUAAAUGGGCUCAAAGUCCAUGACUUGUCUCAUACCAGUGUUUUGUUAGGGAACAACAUCUAAACCCAUGAUGAACAGCCAGGCUGAUAGUAAAAGGAGCCCCCCCAAGUUAUAGUAUUUUUGUUAAAUCCUAGUAUUAAAAAAAGUCAUAAAAAACCCAUCUGGUGAGAUGAUAAUUCAUUAAGUGAAAAGAAGAGGCAGAAGGCUUGGGAAAAUCCAUCCUUUUCUUUCUUUGUCUCAUGUGUUUGCGUUAUUGUGAAAUGACAGUGACCGAAAUCUGAAUUCUGGAUUGUGCAGAGUGGAGGAAAAUUUGAAGAACAUUCUGGGUGUGUUUUAAUAGAGGCUUCCCAGAAAGGACAGUUUGCUGCAGAUGUGGUGUCAGUGAACUGAUGUUCACUGUUCAUGGUGGAGACACAGUGGAGAGGAGAAGAGGAUGAGGAUUCUGUGUGUGAGGAAGGAGCUAGAAUCAUGCAGGAAACUCCUCAUUCUUCCUGAGCUGGCUUGUGGCACACCCUCUGGUGUGGCACACCCCUCCCUCGAGUCCAACUCAGCCCACAAACUCCUGGGAGGAAAGCCAGGGCCCCAGCCUUUUCUUGGAGGAUUGGAUGCAGUCCUUCCGCGUUCCAGCUACCUGGUGAAGAAGAGCUGAGAUCUCAGAGCUUUGUGAAUGUUGAUGAUCUGGGAACCGCCUGAGCUCAUGGACCCUCAUCCUGUCAUCGGAGACAACCAAGUGGCCCACCCGCAGGACCCUCACCACCCAUCCGAGAAGCCAGUCAUUCACUGCCAUAAAUGUGGGGAGCCGUGCAAAGGUGAAGUGCUUCGGGUCCAGACCAAACAUUUCCACAUCAAAUGUUUCACCUGCAAAGUGUGCGGCUGUGACCUGGCGCAAGGGGGCUUCUUCAUCAAGAACGGGGAGUAUCUGUGCACCCUGGACUACCAGAGGAUGUACGGGACACGCUGCCAUGGCUGUGGGGAAUUCGUGGAAGGAGAGGUGGUGACCGCCCUGGGCAAGACGUACCAUCCCAACUGCUUUGCUUGCACUAUCUGCAAGCGCCCGUUUCCACCUGGAGAUCGCGUCACAUUCAAUGGGAGAGACUGCCUCUGUCAACUCUGUGCGCAGCCAAUGUCAUCCAGCCCUCAAGAAGCCUCCUGCUCCAGCAAUUGUGCUGGCUGCGGAAGAGAUAUCAAGAACGGGCAGGCGCUGCUGGCGCUGGAGAAGCAGUGGCACUUGGGGUGCUUUAAAUGCAAGUCCUGCGGGAAGGUCCUCACCGGGGAGUACAUCAGCAAGGACGGCGCUCCGUAUUGCGAGAAGGACUACCAGGGGCUCUUUGGGGUGAGAUGUGAAGCCUGUCACCAGUUUAUCACAGGGAAGGUGCUGGAGGCAGGUGACAAACAUUACCACCCCAGCUGUGCACGAUGCAGCAGAUGCAACCAGAUGUUCACAGAAGGAGAGGAAAUGUAUCUUCAAGGUUCCACCGUUUGGCAUCCCGACUGUAAGCAAUCUACUAAGACUGAGGAAAAGCUGCGGCCAAACGUUCGUCGUUCUUCAUCCGAUUUCUUUUAUCCCAAAAGUCUGAUUCGACGCACAGGACGGUCUCCGUCUCUGCAGCCUACCAGGACUUCCUCGGAAAGCAUUUAUUCUAGACCAGGCUCCAGUAUCCCUGGCUCGCCAGGUCACACUAUCUAUGCAAAAGUGGACAACGAAAUCCUGGAUUACAAGGAUUUAGCAGCCAUUCCCAAGGUCAAGGCAAUUUAUGAUAUUGAACGUCCAGAUCUUAUUACCUAUGAGCAUUUCUACUCUUCGGGCUAUGAUGACAAACAGGACAGACAGAGCCUGGGAGAGUCUCCAAGGACUUUGUCUCCUACUCCAUCAGCAGAAGGGUACCAGGACGUUCGGGAUCGGAUGAUCCACCGCUCCACCAGCCAGGGCUCCAUCAACUCCCCCGGGUACAGCCGCCACAGCUAUACCCCAACCACGUCUCGCUCUCCCCAGCAUUUUCACAGACCCGAGCUGCUGUCUCCUGGUGUGCAGAGGUUGUCCCACCUGCGCACCAGCAGCCUCAGCUCCACCCACAGCGACUCCCGCCCCAACUCCCCCUUUCGACACCACUUCAUUCCCCAUAUCAAAGGCAAUGAGCCGUGCAGCGGCCGGAACUCCCCUCUCCCUUACCGGCCAGACAGCCGCCCUCUAACUCCAACUUACGCUCAGGCCCCUAAACAUUUCCAUGUUCCAGAUCAAGGGAUCAACAUUUACCGAAAACCACCCAUCUACAAACAGCAUGAUGCAGCUGCCCUGGCAGCCCAGAGCAGGUCUUCAGAAGACAUCAUCAAGUUUUCCAAGUUUCCAGCAGCUCAGGCUCCAGACCCCAGCGAGACACCAAAGAUUGAGACGGACCACUGGCCUGGUCCCCCCUCACUUGCCGCCGUAGGAGCUGACAUGAGACGCAGAUCUAGUGGCAGAGAGGAAGAUGAUGAGGAACUUCUGAGACGCCGGCAGCUUCAAGAAGAGCAGUUAAUGAAGCUCAACUCAGGCCUGGGGCAGUUGAUAUUGAAAGAAGAGAUGGAGAAGGAGAGCCGGGAGAGGUCAUCCCUGUCAGCCAGUCGCUAUGAUUCUCCCAUCAACUCAGCGUCACGUGCUCUGUCAUCAAAAACCUCUUCUCUCCCAGGCUAUGGAAGAAAUGGGCUUCACCGGCCUGUUUCUACAGACUUUGCUCAGUACAACAGCUAUGGGGACGUCAGUGGCGGAGUGCGAGACUACCAGGUAUGGAACACUUUGUCUUUCUCGAGUUGGCCACACCAGCAGAACAGCCAUUUUUCACCCCAGACACCCUUCCAGAUGGCCACAUGCCUGCAAUGAGAAUGGACCGAGGAGUGUCUAUGCCCAACAUGUUGGAACCAAAGAUAUUUCCAUAUGAAAUGCUCAUGGUGACCAACAGAGGGCGCAACAAAAUCCUAAGAGACGUGGACAGAACCAGGCUGGAGCGUCACUUAGCCCCAGAAGUGUUUCGGGAAAUCUUUGGAAUGUCCAUACAGGAGUUUGACAAGUUACCUCUUUGGAGACGCAAUGACCUGAAGAAAAAAGCGAAACUCUUCUAAAUCCUACACGUAGACAGCAAUUAGCAAAAGGACUGACAAUGGCGGUGACACAUAGGAUGUUGUAUUAAGGCCCAAACUGGACUGGAGAAUUUGCAAACUACUAUCCCUCAGCAACAACAAAAAGGGAAAAUCUGAUUAAAACACCUACAAGCCAAAUAUUGAGCCGACCGACGGCAACACUUGCCAGGAAGCAAUGGGGUAGAAAUUUCUAUGUUCCCACACUUGACAGUCGUGUUCACAUGUGACCUUUUUACAUCACCACAUGUAUACAACAGGAGCUACUUCUUUUGUUUUCUUUUAACUGUUGUCCAACAAUUGUGCUGACUGUGUGGAUAAGUGCCAGCAAGUGCCCUUAGGAUGCCGCAUGGAAAAAAGCAGUUGUAAUAAUUCCAAAGUAUGAAUAUAUUUAUUAUGUAGCACUGUGGCUAAGAAGCAAGAGCCUGAGGGACAUAUCCAUGUGGUAGAGCCAUUUUGCACACGCCUUUCCUCACUGGCCUCACGCAGCUCUGCCUGCACCCCAGCAGGAUGGAAAUCGGUCGGGGAACCCGGCAGAUCUGGCCGGGCGGGCUGAAUAGCAGCCCGAGUAAUUUCUAACAAGCUCCUUGUUCUCUGCUCUUUGCUAGGACCUGGCUGGUAAAGGACUUAGCUAUUAUUUAAAAAGAAAUUUUUUUUAAGAGAAAGAGAGGGAAAAGGAAUGAAAGGAAAACCUCCCUUAACUCUUUUUCUGCAUCAAAUAGUGUGCUUUCUUCUUCCUUCCCACCAAGGACAGGAGCUGUCUCGGGGGGACCCCUUUGCAAAGAAAGGAAAAAAACAUUUUCUCCAGAUUGGCCCAGCUGCAUGCUGGUUGAUGAUGUUAGCACAGGGGCCGUAGCACUCUAGGCAAAAAAAAAAAUUGUUCCGUGUCUUCCCACUGCAAGUUCUUGCCUCUGCUCUAUAUCUGGCAUCCUCUCAUUCAGAUCAAGCCCACGCGGAUUUUGGUUUUUUUAAGGUCUUUUCAGUGGUAGGCUAAGGAAAGGCAUGUUUUUCCAUUUUAAGUCUCUGCAACUCCAAGAUAGAUUGCCUCGAACUGAUUUAAUUUGGCCUUUUCAGCUUUCCUUCUGGCCUAGCACUGUGGACUUCAUGGUUUGUGUGUAUGGAUGAAUGUGUGUGUGUUUUAAUUCACCCAGGGUAGUUUCGUGAGUCUGCACAUGCUUUUUAAUUUUAUUUCUGCUGGAAUGCUCAUCCCACUGUGCUGCAGCUUCCAAGGGACAGUUGCACAGGUGUGCGUGACUCAAAGAUCAAGAGUGAGGCCAAACUGUAUCCCCGCCACUACAUUCUCUGUGGGAGGGCGUUGGUGCUUGGAAGCCAGCACACUCCAUGGCUGACGUAACUCAGGUCCGCAUCAGACCGAAGACCACAGACCUAGGAUCAGGCUGUGUGUGGGAUCAGAGCAUCUCACCAGAGCCCUCAACUUGUCAACACAAGUUGAGUGUCUAGGAUUUCACCCGAACUUGCGUCUCAGACCACAUCGUGAUUCCUGAAAGCCAGUGGCUGUGACUCCAACGGGAUGUGAGUCAGAUGAGGGAGAGGAUCUGCAGCCCCACCCACAGGAGGUCAGGUCACAUGUAUUCUGCUCUGGGGCUCUGCUAAGGAGUUAAAGCUCGGUUUUAAAGCCAAAGGAGAGAACAAUUCACCUGCCUAUGCCACUGAUAAUAAAAGCUCAGAAAUUCUUCCCGCUACCGGCACCAAGGAUGAGGAUUGGUUAGUAGCUGACACCAGGGGCAAAAGCAAGGAGAAUAGUUUCUGAACCUGUGCUGCAGACCCCAACCUCAUGACACACUCCAUCAGCUGGGUGUUGAAUUGAGCACUGUAAUUGCUUUAUGGUAUUCUCCUGCAGUCUUCCCAGAGGCAUCUGAAUUUGCCUGUCCUUUCAGUGCUGGGCACUGAAUGUUUGAGGACUGUUCUCACAAAUUCGUGUGUGUGUGUGUUUUGGACCUACUAACAUAUUUUGCAAACAGCUCUGAUGGGAUGGACCUGAGGAGACCAGCUCUUCCUUGCAGUGUUGCCCCUUCGUAUAUCAAUUGCCUCUUGCUUCAUCUGAGGUUUCCACUGUCCAUCUUCUUUCUGCCUCGGCACCAUGCCUGGGUGUCCUAGUCCUAGCUUUGUCUGGCAAAGUAAGGGGUGGGGACUAUGGUGUAUUCCCAGUGUUUCCCUGCCACAAUCAAUGACAGGGAUGGUGCAAUAGGUCCCAGGGCUAGGCUGGGGAGAGAUUUUUUUCAUUGUGGGGAUAAUAAAGGACCCUGAAUAUUUUCAUCAGUUAAUGAGUUAUGAGCCAUGCACAUGCAGAUCAAAUGUCAGUAUAAGAAAAAUUGCAAUGAUAGUUAACUGAAUCCAAAAUCUGUUCCCACUAAUAAAACCCUACUUUUCUUGUAGCUUUUGAAUUCAGUUCUGCAUCCAACUUAGCGGGGACAGAGGAGGUCCUUUCCAUAUCAAGUGUAUUAGCAAAUUUAAACAGCACAAUGCAAAAAUGUGUUGCCAGAAAACCUCAGUCACCUCCUGCCUGCCAGCAGAGCAGUGCUGUGCUCUGGGGAGAGGGCACUGGAAGUUGCAAUGCAGAAUGGGUUCCCCCAACUCCACUCCCCAGCAGAAGGCUCCCCCUAGAGGGAUGGGUUCUGGAGCUCUCUGUUUCUCCCAACUGCCAAGUCUCUGUGGGCUACCAUGCCCUAUCCAUUUUGCUAAACUGGGCUCAGCAUGCUUGUCCCCAAAAUGUCCGGGUCACUGCACAGGAGAUAGUGUUCUCUGCUUGAUCCCUGCCCUGCGCUACACGUAAAAAGUCCAGUUAUUAACAGUCAAAUGAACAGGGAUUGUUCACUCCAGGAAGGGAAUCAUGCACAUGGCAAGCUUCCCCAGUAUAUACGUAAAGGGCUACAUUUUUGAGUGUUGGGCUUACUUGUGAUGCUUUAAGCACCGCUGAUGGCAGGAAGUAAAAGAGGCCUCUAUGGCAAUAUGAGAGUCAGUGCUUCCUUUAAAGUUUCUUCCAGAAAAGCCAGGAUGCCAUCUAGUCUUCCUGUGUGACUUAGGAUGAGACAUAGAGCGCAUCUGGAAACUUGCAUAGCUGGCUAUGCAUCUACCUUGUGGUUUGGGUGAGUUAUGAAACAUUCUUGAUGUGAUUGCUUCAAUAGGUAAAGAUCAAUUGCCCGUUCUCUGAAACCUCAAACAGAAAAGCUAGAGUUAAUAGGUAAAAAGUUGCAAAAAAAAGUGGUUUUUAUCUGCCCUGUCUUCUAGGCUCUUCCUCCUUCUCCCAAUUCUGUUGUUUCCAAACUGAGUUUCCUCUUCUGAGGUGAGGCUGCAGCAACUCUUUUCAACUCUCCUCCCCUCAGUCUGGUUAUGUCAAUCAACUCCACUUGGAGAAGUCUUGCUGGAAAUGUUUAUAAAACUUUCUCCUAGUUUCUUUACACUUUAAAGCAAACACCUUUUUCUAAAGAAUUGCUUCUCAGAUGAUUAUAUAAAAUGUAUACGCUUUUGCAAGUUUAAAAAAUUCAAAUUAACCACUUUUGACUAGGUAGGUCUUUCUAAAAACUCUUCAAAGCGGACUUGGUGUUAGUGUUCUCUCGUUCUCCUGCCUGUUGAAGGGGCAGGCGACCCUCCAGGCUCUGGGCUCACAGAGCCUCUUUCUGACUGUCUUGAAAGAUGGUGGAAGGAAAAUGAACUCUUCAUCACCAACUCUUCUGUGUCCUCUGAAGCCAGCUCAGUUCUUACCUUUCUGUAUUUCUGGUCACUGUUUAAUCUGUUUCCUAGGCCAGCCUUGAUUUUAUUUGAUUUGUCAAAUUAUUUUCUUUUACAAACCAAGUGUUUGUCAGUAUUCCCUAAAACUCACUCAUAGUGCUCUCUUCUGAAGAAUGUUCUGUUCAGAAAAAGAGAUUAUUUGGGGCUUGAGAUUUGCAAUGGCACCAUCUUAGAGUACAUUAAGGGAACUACGCAACUGUGUUGUAAUGAAAAGAAAGAGAAACUUUGACAUUUUAAGAAAAUUCCUGUCUUUCCAUUUGCUGCCCAGGAAGCAGUGGGGAGAUGGAGACUGACACGCUUUGCUUAUGGAUUUUUGUGUUUUUAUUUGGCCAUUUAAUGUAUGGUAAACUCAAAAAGAAAGGGGGAGGUGGUCAGUUUAAGCUGAAAGGAACUUUCCAAACAAUGUAUGUGUACACAGCAGAGUUAAACAAAUCCAACAUUUUUUGAUGCUUAGUAUAAUUGAGUGGCAAUUGUUACCAUUAAAUAAAAUUCUUCCCAAAAGUGUCUCUUGCCCAGAAUGAAGAUCCCUUGAGUCAUUUUCUGAGCCCAUUCUCCAAAGGCAGGAGACAAUAGCGUAUACGCUAACAUUCAGAGAGGCAGUGAGCCACUGCAUGAUUGUAUACGCGUUUGUUUCUCUACGGAAGAGAAAACGAAUGUCUGCAGAAUUGAUGUCCUUUGGGGGUUUGGUGUACACACCCGUCCAGUAAUAAAUGUGUGUGGUUUCUGUGAGUUGCUGACAAUCCUGCAUCGAAGCUCUCGCGGUUCUUUCAUUUUAUGUUGGGUUUAUGGCGUUUUCUAUUCAAGUGUCGGAAGGCACACGGCUCUUCCUGCCCCCCGGCCCCCACCCUCCCCUUUCAGACUAUGAAAGCAAAUAUUUGGAAGAACCGCUGUUUAAAAGAUGUGUUGUGUCCCCGUGAAAGUGAGUGGGUGGGUCCUCUGCACCCCGAGUACCGUGUGCUAGCACGCAGAGGCGGUGUGGCCCGCUGGCCCCAUGUCGCUGUGCUUUGUGAUUGCCACCUGCCCCGUGCUCCUGUUGCAGGCAGCACCUGCCCCCCGAUCCGCGCUGCGCUCUGCAUCGCUGUUGUACUCACAACUCUGUGAAUAAAGUGUGUGCUUUAUUCGUAAA